GCGUUGGUGGCACAGCGGUAGAGUGCUCGCCCCUCACGCAGGUGGUCCGGGGUUCGAGCCCCGGCCUAAGCA
Molecule: transfer RNA, 72 nt
Filed under: Trichobilharzia regenti
Lineage: Eukaryota; Metazoa; Platyhelminthes; Trematoda; Strigeidida; Schistosomatidae
Rfam family: tRNA
About the family: Transfer RNA (tRNA) molecules are approximately 80 nucleotides in length. Their secondary structure includes four short double-helical elements and three loops (D, anti-codon, and T loops).
Source: Rfam by way of RNAcentral